Molecule: transfer RNA, 76 nt
Filed under: Bacillota bacterium
Lineage: Bacteria; Bacillati; Bacillota
Also listed under: 3 other names
Description: tRNA-Val(tac)
Rfam family: tRNA
About the family: Transfer RNA (tRNA) molecules are approximately 80 nucleotides in length.
Source: RNAcentral
GGGCGCAUAGCUCAGCUGGGAGAGCACCUGCCUUACAAGCAGGGGGUCAUAGGUUCAAGCCCUAUUGCGCCCACCA